CUCCUUUCUUGAUAGUUUCUUGGUACUGCCAGUUCUUGCUAUCAGGUCUAUAAAUAAAUUCAAGAAAAAAUGAAUUAUUUACCAGUCACAUUAUUCCAUGACAAUAGUUGACCUACUUUUAAAAUUUAGGAAUGCCCCUUAUUCUGAGAAAUGAGAGUACCUGUUGGUUUCUACUAUUUCAUUCACUUUAUCUAUUUUGCAGUGUAGUCUCCCGGCAGCAAUAAACCUGGACAGUUCCCUAAUUUAGAGACAAAAAAUAACAGAAUUAGCUUUAUAGAAAAUUCUUAGAAAAAUGCAAACGGCAUUAAAAUACUGUCUUAAAUUUGUAACAAACAUUUAGCUUCCCUUCAAGCUUGUUAUUGCACAUGCAGUAGUUGACGUUGUCCCUCCUAUACUGCAGGCUUUAAGUCAUCAUCUACUAGAAUAAACAUGAUCCUAGAAGUUCAUAUUCAGAUAGAUAGAAAGUAGAUCAAACAAUGAAACCAUAUGUACUCAGAGAAAAACUGUAGGUUAGGAAAAAUUAGGGACCAAAACUGAUAAAAACAGUAAACUGUUUCAAACAAAAGACCUAAAACAAAAUUAUGGAACACAGCCCAUCAGUAAACAUGUCAACAGCAAUAGUAUUUACUAAAACAACGACCCUUUCCCUCUCUAACAUAUCUUAGUCUAAACAAGUGGAAGGGAAGGGGAGAAAUGAUGUAGAAUUAUUGCUUUGCCCAUUUUAAAAAAGGGGAUUUCAUCUAAAAUGUAACUUUUUAAGGGAGAAAAAAAGAAUAAAGAAUCCAUGACAACCCAGAUUUGAAAUUCUUAGGUAUCACAGAAAUUUAAAACAAGGCCUUUUUAGGUAACAACAACUAGAGCUCAGUGGUACAACCUUUGCCUCUCAAGCUGGUCUUAGAACAUGAAGGGAAAAAAAAAAAACUGAACAAAUACUACCUGAAUUCAACUACUACCUGAAAGGUACCAGCUGCCUUGCAUUCACUUGUCAUCAAGAUGACUUAAGGAAUACUGCGGUGUGUGCCCCUAACUAAUGAAGGCUUUAUCUCCACAUUACAGUUACGAUACUGAAGAGACGUAACCUGACCAAGGCCACAGAGCUGGAAAAAGAAGCAAAGCCAAGCCGUUUUUCUCAUGCACUGCUCACAACAAGCCCCUCCUUCCACUGACUCAUGAAAAACACACUCAUAAUGCCCAGCCCGCACCCUAAUGAACAGCCCUCUUAAGAGUGGUCAUCAGACUUCAAUUUCACAGACUAGAAUUGAGAAAUGGAACAAAACCUUGGGAUACCAGCCUUCCAUUUUGGUAGGGAUCAUUUAAAAAAUGGUAGGGAUCAUUUAAAAAAUGUGUUGGUGUCUGAAACUUACUUUGAAGUGGUUAAAAAACAUAAAAUGUAUAGAUUGUAACAAGCAAAUAUGUUAAAAUGUACUGUACAAUUCUUUCUUUACAAUUUUAUGGAUGUUCGAAAUUUAAAAAAUACUAGAAAGAGAAUGGUCUUAUUUAAAAGAAAUGCAUCUUCA
RNAcentral lists this long non-coding RNA (1517 nucleotides) under Homo sapiens (human). RNAcentral's name for it is "HSALNT0312157". Lineage: Eukaryota; Metazoa; Chordata; Mammalia; Primates; Hominidae. The record is from RNAcentral.